GGUACGGUACUGCAUGUUAUCUUGACAUUUAUAGCUGUGCUAUACUUGGCUAACAAAGUACCCCUUUUCUCUGAGAGCAAUAACACUUUCCCAUCUGUUUCCUAUGCUUCACUGGCACAUUCACGUAAGAGUGCAGAUAUACAUGUUAGAAAGGUGCAAGUAUUCCAGAGAAAUGUACUGCAAUUGCCAUAAUACCUUUUACAGGGCAUUACAUGUAGUAUGUUUGCUGCGAAAGUGUACUUUUCCAUUUUUUUCAGGAGUUUAAACCUCCCUCCACCGGAGUCACCACAGGGGGAGGGGAAGCCACAGCCACAUCCUGGGAGUGGUAUGAGGGGGAGGCCACAGCCGCAUCCUGGAACUGAUAUACAGUGAUGAAAGAGCUAAGUCCCCUCCUGUUCCCUGAUUAAGAGGUGAUGACCACUCCAUUCCACUACCAUUGUCAACUCCGUCCUGACAUGAACUGAAGCCACGUCUCAUGUGCCCACUCAUCCACUGGCACAUUGAAUGUUUCCACUGUUAGCACUACAAAUCCUGUCCUGCACUGAAGCCAAGCCUUUGAACAUCUCAACUCAUGCCUCAUACCCUCAUU
This 589-nucleotide long non-coding RNA is filed under the name Salmo salar (Atlantic salmon). RNAcentral's name for it is "lncRNA (ENSSSAG00000097266.1)". The record is from RNAcentral. Lineage: Eukaryota; Metazoa; Chordata; Actinopteri; Salmoniformes; Salmonidae.